Molecule: ribosomal RNA, 918 nt
Filed under: uncultured bacterium
Lineage: Bacteria
Description: bacterial SSU rRNA
Rfam family: Bacterial small subunit ribosomal RNA
Source: RNAcentral
ACGCUAGCUACAGGCUUAACACAUGCAAGUCGAGGGGAAACGGCGUUUAGUGCUUGCACUGAAUGGACGUCGACCGGCGCACGGGUGAGUAACGCGUAUCCAACCUUCCCAUUACUGUGGGAUAACCUGCCGAAAGGCAGACUAAUACCGCAUAGUCUUCGAUGACGGCAUCAGAUUUGAAGUAAAGAUUUAUCGGUAAUGGAUGGGGAUGCGUCUGAUUAGCUUGUUGGCGGGGUAACGGCCCACCAAGGCAACGAUCAGUAGGGGUUCUGAGAGGAAGGUCCCCCACAUUGGAACUGAGACACGGUCCAAACUCCUACGGGAGGCAGCAGUGAGGAAUAUUGGUCAAUGGACGAGAGUCUGAACCAGCCAAGUAGCGUGCAGGAUGACGGCCCUAUGGGUUGUAAACUGCUUUUGUAUGGGGAUAAAGUCAAUCACGUGUGAUUGUUUGCAGGUACCAUACGAAUAAGGACCGGCUAAUUCCGUGCCAGCAGCCGCGGUAAUACGGAAGGUCCGGGCGUUAUCCGGAUUUAUUGGGUUUAAAGGGAGCGUAGGCCGGAGAUUAAGUGUGUUGUGAAAUGUAGACGCUCAACGUCUGACUUGCAGCGCAUACUGGUUUCCUUGAGUACGCACAACGUUGGCGGAAUUCGUCGUGUAGCGGUGAAAUGCUUAGAUAUGACGAAGAACUCCGAUUGCGAAGGCAGCUGACGGGAGCGCAACUGACGCUUAAGCUCGAAGGUGCGGGUAUCGAACAGGAUUAGAUACCCUGGUAGUCCGCACAGUAAACGAUGGAUGCCCGCUGUUGGUACCUGGUAUCAGCGGCUAAGCGAAAGCAUUAAGCAUCCCACCUGGGGAGUACGCCGGCAACGGUGAAACUCAAAGGAAUUGACGGGGGCCCGCACAAGCGGAGGAACAUGU